GUAGGUGGCAAGCGUUGUCCGGAAUUAUUGGGCGUAAAGCGCGCGCAGGCGGUUCUUUAAGUCUGAUGUGAAAGCCCACGGCUCAACCGUGGAGGGUCAUUGGAAACUGGAGAACUUGAGUACAGAAGAGGAAAGCGGAAUUCCACGUGUAGCGGUGAAAUGCGUAGAGAUGUGGAGGAACACCAGUGGCGAAGGCGGCUUUCUGGUCUGUAACUGACGCUGAGGCGCGAAAGCGUGGGGAGCAAACAGGGAUUAGAUACCCUGGUAGUCCACGCCGUAAACGAUGAGUGCUAAGUGUUAGGGGGGUUUCCCGCCCCUUAGUGCUGCAGCUAACGCAUUAAGCACUCCGCCUGGGGAUACGGCCGCAAGGCUG
This 373-nucleotide ribosomal RNA is filed under the name uncultured organism. Its description in RNAcentral is "partial 16S ribosomal RNA". It matches the Rfam family "Bacterial small subunit ribosomal RNA", at positions 527 to 896 of the family's 1533-position model. The record is from RNAcentral.